Molecule: small RNA, 46 nt
Filed under: Soonwooa buanensis
Lineage: Bacteria; Pseudomonadati; Bacteroidota; Flavobacteriia; Flavobacteriales; Weeksellaceae
Description: Acido-Lenti-1 RNA
Rfam family: Acido-Lenti-1 RNA
Source: Rfam by way of RNAcentral
CCUAGGACUUCCGUCCUAGGCUAUGAUAAUUCAUCCCUUCGGGAUU